UACGAAGGGGGCUAGCGUUGUUCGGAAUCACUGGGCGUAAAGCGCACGUAGGCGGAUCUUUAAGUCAGGGGUGAAAUCCCGAGGCUCAACCUCGGAACUGCCUUUGAUACUGGGGAUCUCGAGUCCGGGAGAGGUGAGUGGAACUGCGAGUGUAGAGGUGAAAUUCGUAGAUAUUCGCAAGAACACCAGUGGCGAAGGCGGCUCACUGGCCCGGAACUGACGCUGAGGUGCGAAAGCGUGGGGAGCAAACAGG
This 253-nucleotide ribosomal RNA is filed under the name uncultured bacterium. RNAcentral describes it as "partial 16S ribosomal RNA". It matches the Rfam family "Bacterial small subunit ribosomal RNA", at positions 524 to 776 of the family's 1533-position model. The record is from RNAcentral. RNAcentral also lists the same sequence under 2 other names.